GACGAACGCUGGCGGCGUGCCUAAUACAUGCAAGUAGAACGCACAGUUUAUACCGUAGCUUGCUACACCAUAGACUGUGAGUUGCGAACGGGUGAGUAACGCGUAGGUAACCUGCCUGGUAGCGGGGGAUAACUAUUGGAAACGAUAGCUAGUACCGCAUAAUAUUGAUUAUUGCAUGAUAAUUGAUUGAAAGAUGCUAUUGCAUCACUACCAGAUGGACCUGCGUUGUAUUAGCUAGUAGGUGAGGUAACGGCUCACCUAGGCGACGAUACAUAGCCGACCUGAGAGGGUGAUCGGCCACACUGGGACUGAGACACGGCCCAGACUCCUACGGGAGGCAGCAGUAGGGAAUCUUCGGCAAUAGACGAAAGUCUGACCGAGCAACGCCGCGUGAGUGAAGAAGGUUUUCGGAUCGUAAAGCUCUGUUGUAAGAGAAGAACGGGUGUGAGAGUGGAAAGUUCACACUGUGACGGUAUCUUACCAGAAAGGGACGGCUAACUACGUG
Molecule: ribosomal RNA, 505 nt
Filed under: uncultured bacterium
Lineage: Bacteria
Description: partial 16S ribosomal RNA
Rfam family: Bacterial small subunit ribosomal RNA
Source: RNAcentral